RNAcentral lists this ribosomal RNA (253 nucleotides) under uncultured bacterium. Its description in RNAcentral is "partial 16S ribosomal RNA". It matches the Rfam family "Bacterial small subunit ribosomal RNA", at positions 524 to 776 of the family's 1533-position model. The record is from RNAcentral.
UACGUCGGGGGCAAGCGUUGUCCGGAAUCAUUGGGCGUAAAGCGCGUGUAGGCGGCCCGGUAAGUCCGCUGUGAAAGUCGGGGGCUCAACCCUCGAAUGCCGGUGGAUACUGUCGGGCUAGAGUGCGGAAGAGGCGAGUGGAAUUCCUGGUGUAGCGGUGAAAUGCGCAGAUAUCAGGAGGAACACCAAUUGCGAAGGCAGCUCGCUGGGACGUGACUGACGCUGAGACGCGAAAGCGUGGGGAGCAAACAGG